Molecule: RNA transcript, 1682 nt
Organism: Nomascus leucogenys (northern white-cheeked gibbon)
Lineage: Eukaryota; Metazoa; Chordata; Mammalia; Primates; Hylobatidae
Exons: 1
Source: RefSeq, a predicted model, not a curated record
AUUGAUGUGACCCUCCGUCCCCAGGCCUGGCUCCCCGAGGGCUCAGAAGAGCAGCUUCGGUGUGCAGAUCAUCCGUCUGCGUGGGAUUCUCAGUGCCGGAGGCCUUGGGGUGGGGGCCAGGCCUUGCACACGCAGAGGGGACCAGUGGGCUGCAUGAUCCCCUCCAUCCCCAUCGGCCCUGUCCCCUGGAGUGUGUCAGAGCCCAGGGGAGAAUGCAGCCCACCAGGGUCACCUGGACCUCCUGACCGCCACAUGGCGUGGCCAUCACUCAGCCCCCACCCCUGCCCUGCUCCUAAGGGUAGAAAAUUCCAGGACCCCCUUUCACCGACUGCCCAGCCACUCCAAGCCCCCUGGCAGCUGCCCCUCCUGGAGCAGAAAGUGCCUUUAUCUCAGCCAUCCGCAGGCUGCUCAGCCAGAUGCGGGGACAGGCUGGAAUGAGGGAGGUGUCUUCAUCUCCCUGCCAUCCCCCUCUCACGCCACCCCCUCCCACCGGGCUGCAGGUGCUGCUGAUGCGCUGGGAUCUGAUUGAGGAUAAAAAGGAAGGAGAGAUGACCCCUACCCCCUCAUCCCCCAGUUUUGAAAAGGUCCAAGCAAGUGAGUCUGGUGGAGGAGCUGAGGGAGGGAGCCAUGGAAGGUGCCAGAAGGAAGGUUGGCGGGGGCACAUGUGGGCCGUGGCUUGGGCUGGUCAGAGUGGCCUGAGCUGCCCGGUGCCUGCCCCGCCCAAGUGACCAGGGAAGUGUGUGUGUGUCCAUGUGUAUGCGUGUCCGUCUGUCUGUCUAGUGUCUGGGUUUGGCCCAAGACUGGGCUGUGGUUACAUUAAUGCCCAGCCAGCCACCCCCACCACUCACCCCUCCUGGCCCAGGCCUUACUGACUCUGUGACCUGGGGAGGUGGGAGGCCAGGCGAACCUGACUCUGUUGUCCUACCCCUGCCUGGGCCCUUCUCCUCAGAGCCCAUGGUAACGAACCCCUAGAAAAGAGAGACCGGGCGUCAGGGGUGCACAGUCCACAGUGAGCUGAAGAGUGAGGUUUCAUGGCAGCACGGCCCAGCCCCUCACCCUCCAUCCCCAUGAGGGGACCCGUGUGGGCUGUCUUUGCAGGGCACAGAUGACCAAAGUCCCUUCCUGCUUCCUGUUCUCUGUCUUGCUCCUGGGGAGAAAGAGGGACCCGAUGAGACUUCACACAGGUGCACACAUCACCGGGUGCAUCUGCAGGCACCGGGCUGGCUGCUUGCAGCCAGGAGAAGGUCAGCGAGAGGGAGUGUGAGUGUGUGUGCAUGGAAGUUGGGGCACUGGGCGUCUGACUCCCUCCCCACCCAAGAGAGAAAGGACCCCUCACCAUCCCCACUGGCGAGACAGUUUACUUGCCAACUUGCCAUGUUUUUGCCAAAACCAAGAUUUUGAAGGAAAUGAGUGGCCAGUGCCAGGGCCCAGGCCAUGUGGCCCGCCCAGCCUCAAUGUCACUUGGUGGCGGGGUGGGGUGGGGGGUGGGCAGCAGCAUCCCAGCCUUGAGAUGCUUCACUUUCCUUUUCUGUAACCAGACUUCGAAAAAUCGUUCGUUUCUUCAGGCUCUGUUCCUCAAUGGCCUUUUGCUACGUGCCUCCCGAGAAAUUUGUCUCUUUUUGUAUAAAUGACAAAGUAUUGAAAAUGUAUUUCCUGAAAUAAAUGUUUCAAAUGCAGAAACC